AACGAACGCUGGCGGCAGGCCUAACACAUGCAAGUCGAGCGGACCCUUCGGGGUUAGCGGCGGACGGGUGAGUAACGCGUGGGAAUAUGCCCUUCUCUACGGAAUAGUCCUGGGAAACUGGGGGUAAUACCGUAUACGCCCUUUGGGGGAAAGAUUUAUCGGGGAAGGAUUAGCCCGCGUUGGAUUAGGUAGUUGGUGGGGUAAUGGCCUACCAAGCCGACGAUCCAUAGCUGGUUUGAGAGGAUGAUCAGCCACACUGGGACUGAGACACGGCCCAGACUCCUACGGGAGGCAGCAGUGGGGAAUCUUAGACAAUGGGGGCAACCCUGAGCUAGCCAUGCCGCGUGAGUGAUGAAGGCCUUAGGGUUGUAAAGCUCUUUCAGCUGGGAAGAUAAUGACGGUACCAGCAGAAGAAGCCCCGGCUAACUCCGU
RNAcentral lists this ribosomal RNA (432 nucleotides) under uncultured bacterium. RNAcentral describes it as "partial 16S ribosomal RNA". It matches the Rfam family "Bacterial small subunit ribosomal RNA", at positions 29 to 506 of the family's 1533-position model. The record is from RNAcentral.